Long non-coding RNA from Harpegnathos saltator (Jerdon's jumping ant), 1182 nucleotides. RefSeq lists it as uncharacterized. NCBI's taxonomy places the organism in Eukaryota, Metazoa, Arthropoda, Insecta, Hymenoptera, Formicidae. The transcript is spliced from 3 exons. The record is from RefSeq and is a predicted model, not a curated record.
UUAAAUAUAUAUUUAAUUUCAUAGAUAAAACAUAAGCGCUAUAUUAUUUGAUAAUUUUAUACCUUAAAAGCAAUAAUUCAACAGGUGCCACAAAACAAGAAAGAGCAACUGAUAAACUGAAGAGUAUAAUUACACGUGUGUCUGUUAUGGAUGCAUACAAUAAAACAUACAAAGAAACGGAUCUAAAGAAAAAGCAACACUUGCACGAUCUCCAUCGAGAAAUUAACUCGUGAUUACUGUUUAUGACAAAAAAAGUCCAUAGAAUUUCUUUCGGAAUGAUCGCUUGGAGUCCCCGGCUCUUGCCUAUCAAAGUUGUUAAACAGCAAAUGUCCCGAUCUCACGAUAUUAUCUUGCGGUAUUUUGGUGGAAAUUUUACAUACCGCGAUAUUUCGUGCAAUUUUAUUCCAUUUACUCUAAUUUUGCAUAAAUGCGCUGCGUUUAUGUAAAAUUAGACAUCUUUUGUCGGAAUGUACAGCGGAGAGAAGGAAAAUGUAAGGUAUAUUUUAUCGAUCGGCUAAAAGGAGGGGAUGAGCGAAUUCUUCAGUUUUUUCCGCGGUCAAACGCAUGCCGAUGCUUGCGAAGAGAUGACGUGCUUCGAUCUGCAUCAACACAUUGCCAUUAAUCGAAUUCUUUUGCUCUUGGUCGGCUUAUGGCCUUAUCAGCAAUCGAGUAUUGUGCAUCUUCAGAAAAUUCUGUUUUUCAGUAUUUUGUCGAGCUUUAUUUUAUUUCAGGUAAACAAAUUUUACUUUCAUUACAUUAUAUAAUAUACCAUUUGUAGCAUUAUUAUACACGUGACAGUAACUGACUUGCAUCUUGCAGAAGGGUGUGUCAUUUUCUCCUAUUACCGUUUUUUCGAUAAAUUUAUCGUUUGCAGCUCACAUCAUUCUUAACCGCGAAAUGUACACCUGACUUCAUCGUCAAAAUUUCCUGUUCUAUAUUACUUUUCGCAAUUUACUUGAUUUUAUAUAACACAUUCCACUUUAAUACUAAACAUAUGAUACAUUCAUUGGAUCAACUGCAACACGUUUGUAAUGAGCUGCAAGACGAGAACGAAAUAGCUAUCAUUGAACGAUACGCGUGCAUUGCUGAACGUAAAACAAUUAUACUUACAGUGUUUAGCAGUGUAUUUGUUAUUCUUGUCCAGCCAACGUGGCCACGCAUCUUCGAUACUUUUCUUUUAAU